GGGGGAAACCCUGAUGCAGCCAUGCCGCGUGUGUGAAGAAGGCCUUCGGGUUGUAAAGCACUUUCAGUAGGGAGGAAGGUAGUGUAGUUAACACCUGCAUUAUUUGACGUUACCUACAGAAGAAGCACCGGCUAACUCCGUGCCAGCAGCCGCGGUAAUACGGAGGGUGCGAGCGUUAAUCGGAAUUACUGGGCGUAAAGCGCAUGCAGGCGGCCUGUUAAGUCAGAUGUGAAAGCCCGGGGCUUAACCUCGGAAUUGCAUUUGAAACUGGCAGGCUAGAGUCUUGUAGAGGGGGUAGAAUUUCAGGUGUAGCGGUGAAAUGCGUAGAGAUCUGAAGGAAUACCAGUGGCGAAGGCGGCCCCCUGGACAAAGACUGACGCUCAGAUGCGAAAGCGUGGGGAGCAAACAGGAUUAGAUACCCUGGUAG
This 427-nucleotide ribosomal RNA is filed under the name uncultured bacterium. Its description in RNAcentral is "bacterial SSU rRNA". It matches the Rfam family "Bacterial small subunit ribosomal RNA", at positions 373 to 793 of the family's 1533-position model. The record is from RNAcentral.